This 7414-nucleotide long non-coding RNA is filed under the name Capsicum annuum. RNAcentral describes it as "long non-coding RNA (CANN_LNC007546)". The record is from RNAcentral. Lineage: Eukaryota; Viridiplantae; Streptophyta; Magnoliopsida; Solanales; Solanaceae.
UUUCGUACUAGACUAAACAAGUCUGUAAUCUUUGGUGUUUUCUGAUGAAUAAGAGAGUUUAUUCAAGGUAAGCUUGUAUUCUCGAUUUGUCCCAACAUCGUGGAAUAAAAUUAGUGUGACAUCAUCAGGUUCCGGUGCUAUAUCUGCAGAACAGUUCUCAACUAUUUAGAACUGUUUCUUUUUGGAUGUCAUCAGAAACAGCCUCUCUACUUCUUCGAAGGUAGCGGCUUACCCUGCCCAGACUCCACUUUGUGGGAAUACACUGGGUUUGUUGUUGUUGUUCUUUUUGGAUGUCGUCCUUUACAACCAUUCUUUCACCUUUCCGCUCACAAUCAGGUUAGAUUCUACUCUAGAGUGGUGGUCUUCACCACCUCUCCUUUGUACAAUUGUUGAAUAGAAACCUAAUGUUUCCCGCCGCCCACCCACCACCUUAGCUUCUCUUUUCCUCUCCUUAACAAGUUAAAAAAAGGGUAGCCCGGUGCACUAAAGUUCCCUCUAGGGAAAGGCCGAACCACAAGGUCUCACCAUAGACAGCCUUGCCCGGAGUUUCUGCAGCCCAAAAAAUUCCAAGCAAAAAUUGCACAAAAUUUCAUCCCAUAAAUUGCUCUAAAAUAUCUUCCUCUUCCUCAUCUUCACUGAAAUUCAACCCCACCCCUCACUUCUGCUUAACUUAUUCAGCAUAAAAAACCAAUCUUUUUCAACUUAUGCAGCAUAAAAAGGCAAUCUUUGAUUAUACAUUUCUUAUAUAAAACUUAGUCAGCUUGUUCUAAUGUAAGUUUUUGCAUGUUUUACUAGUAUAAAUUCACUUUCUUUUUUGUCCAUAUGGGUGUAAUUAUACUUAGUUCCUCACCAAUUUGCUGCAAUAAUUUUAACUGUGUAUCUGUAACUGACACUAGACAAUCUACUAGUAGUAGUAAUGGGUGUUCAGUUAGAGGGAGAUUGAAUUUUUCCUCAUGUGGGGGUGUGAUAAAUUGUGAUAUAAUUAGGAAAAAAAAUGUGGGGUCUUCAAGAUUUGUGAUUUCCUCAUGUGGGGUUGUGAUGAAUUGUGAGAAAAUUAAGGGGGGAAAUGUGGGGUCUUCAAGAUUUUUGAUGAAAUGUUCAAAUGAUGUUGUGUUAGGUAAAGACUUGAACUUUUUAUCUGAGGGGUCUGUGAUGAAUUGUGAGAAAAUUAGGAAAAAGAAUGUGGGGUCUUCAAAAUUUGUGAUGAAAUGUUCCAAUGAUGUUGUGGUGAAUUGUGAGAAAAUUAGGAAAAAAGAUGUGGGGUCUUCAAGAUUUGUGAUGAAAUGUUCAAAUGAUGUUGUGUUGGAUAGGGACUUGAGUUUUUGCUCUUGUGUGUGUGUGGUGAAUUGUAAGGAAAUUAGGAAAAGAAAUGUGGGGUUUUCAAGAUUUGUGGUGAAAUGUUCAAAUGAUGUUGUGUUAGUGAAUGGUAAAUGUAGAAGUGGCAUAUCUGCUGAGGGAGUGUUGAGGGACUUGAGGUCGAUUUCGGAACCAACUGAAGCUUUAGCUUUGUUUAAAUCCGUAGCAGAGAUGCCUAUGGUUGUGCAUACUACGGAAACGUGUAAUUACAUGUUGGAGUAUUUGAGGGUUCUUGAUAGGGUGAAUGAUAUGGCGGUAGUGUUUGAUUUGAUGCAAAAACAGAUAGUUUAUAGGAAUUUGGAUACUUAUUUGAUUAUAUUUAAGGGUCUUCAUAUAAGGGGAGGAAUACGUGAAGCUCCGUUUGCUCUUGAAAGGAUGAAGAAAGCAGGGUUCGUGUUGAAUGCUUACUCGUACAACGGGUUGAUACAUUUGAUUCUUCAAGCAGGGUUUUGGCAGGAAGGUUUAAAGGUUUAUAGGAGGAUGAUUUCGGAAAAGCUUAAGCCGAGCCUUAAAACAUACUCUGCGUUAAUGGUUGCGUGUGGUAAAAGAAGGGAUACUGAAACGGUCAUGAGAUUGUUAGGUGAGAUGGAUGGUUUGGGAUUAAGACCGAAUAUUUAUACUUAUACCAUUUGCAUUAGAGUGCUCGGAAGGGCUGGAAAGAUUGAUGAUGCUUGUGCUAUAUUAAAGAGAAUGGAUGAUGAAGGUUGUGCUCCGGAUGUUGUUACUUACACCGUCCUCAUUGAUUCUCUUUGCAUUGCUGGAAAGGUAGAUAUUGCUAAAGAAGUCUUUUUCAAGAUGAAAGCUGGGCGCCAUAAACCUGAUCGGGUGACUUACAUCACUUUGCUAGAUAGGCUUAGUGAUCGUAAGGACUUGGACUCCGUAAGGGACUUCUUGGACAGGAUGGAGGCUGAUGGUUAUAAGCCGGAUGUCGUCUCUUUUACCAUACUUGUUGAUGCUUUGUGCAAAGUAGGUAACAUCACUGAAGCAUUUUCUACAUUAGAUGUAAUGAAGGAAAAAGGGAUCUUACCGAAUCUUCAUACUUAUAAUUCAUUGAUCAGGGGCCUGCUAAGAAAGAACAAGGUUAAUGAAGCGUUGGAGCUGUUUGAUAGCAUGAAAUCUCUUGGAGUUGAGGUCACAGCUUACACGUAUAUCCUGUUUAUUGACUACUACGGGAAAUCUGGUGAGCCUGAUAAAGCACUUGAAACAUUUGAGAAGAUGAAAGCUCAUGGAAUCGUGCCUAACAUUGUUGCUUGCAAUGCAUCUUUGUACAGUAUAGCAGAAAUGGGAAGGCUUGGAGAGGCGAAAAGUAUAUUUGAUGGAAUUAAAGAGAGUGGAUAUGUUCCAAAUUCAAUCACCUACAACAUGAUGAUGAAAUGCUAUAGUAAUGCAGGGAAAAUUGAUGAAGCUAUUAAGUUACUCUCCGAGAUGCUAGAAAGUGGUUGUGAUCCUGAUGUGAUUGUAGUCAAUUCAUUGAUUGACAUACUUUAUAAGGAUGGUCGGGCUAGUGAAGCGUGGGCAAUGUUUUACAGAUUGAAGGAUAUGAAACUGACUCCUUCCGUUGUGACCUACAACACUUUACUGGCUGGAUUAGGUAAAGAAGGAAAGAUCCGAGAGGCCUAUGAGUUACUGGAUAGCAUGGCUCUUCACGGGUGUGCUCCAAACACAAUCACUUACAAUACACUUUUAGAUACUCUUUGCAAGAACGGUGAGGUUGCUACAGCCUUGACGUUGCUUUACCAAAUGACGGGACCAAAUUGCUUUCCGGAUGUUUUCAGUUAUAACACUGUAAUCUUUGGGUUGGCUAAAGAAAAAAGGGUAACCGAAGCAUUUUUGCUAUACCAUCAGAUGAAGAAGAAAAUGUAUCCCGACUGUGUAACUGUAUAUGGUCUUCUACCUAUUCUUGUGAAAGAUGGCUUAGUUGACGAUGCUGUUAAGAUUGUGGAUGGUUUUGUUAACCAGGCUUUGAAUAGGUCGGAUAGAUCCUUUUGGCUGCAACUGAUGGAAGGUAUUUUGGGUGAAGCUGAAAUAGAUCAUUCCAUUUCUUUUGCCGAAAAACUGGCAUCGUAUCGUAUUUGCAGAAAUGACUUAAUAAUAGUACCUGUUAUUAGAGUUCUUUGCAAGCAAAAGAAAGCCCUUGAUGCUCAUGAUCUUUUUGUAAAGUUCAAGAACAAAUUCGGAAUUCACCCAACACUAAGAUCAUAUUAUCCUUUGGUUGAAGGACUUCUGAAUGUUCAUCAUCUUAAAGAAUUGGCAUGGCAUCUUUUCAAGGAAAUGAAAAAUGCCGGUUGUGCUCCAGAUGUUUAUACCUAUAAUUUGUUUCUUGAUGAACUUGGAAAGUCCGGGAAGGUUGAUGAACUUUUUGAGUUGUAUGAGGAGAUGCUCCACAGAGGAUGUAAGCCGAUCGCAAUAACUUACAAUAUUCUCAUUUCGGGUUUGGUGAAGUCUAAUGAAGUAGAGAGAGCAAUAGAUUUUUACUAUGAUCUUGUUAGUUUAGGCUUUACACCUACGCCUUGUACAUAUGGUCCUCUCAUAAAUGGGCUUUUUAAGGUUAAAAAUUUCGACAAAGCAAAGGACCUUUUUGAUGAAAUGGUGGAAUAUGGAUGCAGACCUAAUUCUGCUAUCUACAACAUUCUCAUAAAUGGGUUCGGGAAAGCAGGUGAUCUGAAAUCCGCGUGUGAUCUCUUCAACAGAAUGAAUAAAGAAGGAGUUAGACCGGAUUUAAAGACGUACACCAUUCUUGUAGAUUGCCUAUGCUCUUCGGGGAAGGUGGACGAUGCUCUAAACUACUUUGAGGAACUGAAAUCAGCUGGUCUUGAUCCUGAUUUGAUUUCUUACAACCUUAUGAUCAACGGUCUUGGGAAGUCCCGUAAAAUGAAGGAAGCACUGUAUCUUCUUGAUGAGAUGAAAAGCAAAGGAAUCACCCCGAAUCUUUAUACCUAUAAUACCUUGAUACUCAAUCUUGGAAUUGCUGGAAUGUUGGAAGAGGCUGGAAAAAUGUAUGAAGAACUUCAGCAACAAGGUUUUGAACCUGACGUUUUUACAUAUAAUGCUCUUAUUAGAGGGUACAGCAAGUCCGGUGAUCCAGAUGGCGCGUAUGCCAUUUAUGAGAAGAUGAUGGUCGGGGGUUGUAGCCCGAAUGGUGGGACUUUUGCACAGCUACCUAAUUAACGCCAGACUUUUUACGUUCUUCAAGUGAAGCUUUGUGAGAACCAGUUUCUACACUCUGCCUUGUGGCUGCUAAGGUAUAUACUCAUUCCACCACUCCAGGGAAUGUGCUAGAGAAUGUAAAUUGUUUCUGCACUUUUUGGAUAUCGAAACAUGCUAGGCAAAAUAGGUUUUUAAGACAUAAUUACUAUAUCUUCUUGUUCCUUAAAUCAUCCUGUACCCUAGAGGCGGAUGCAGAGUAUCCGUGUCGGAUUCAUAUGAACCUAGUACUUUCGACGCAGAUCAUAAUUUAUUUAUCUUUUUAACCAUUUUUCAACAAAUUGUAGAUAUGAACCCAUUUAGCUGAUAUGAUGCUCGUGACCCACACCGUGGGUCUUCCGGAAACGACCUCUCUACCUCCUCGAGGUAGGGGUAAGGUCUGCAUACGGUCUACCCUCUCCUUCCCAUACCCCACUUAUGGGACUAUACUGGGUUCGUUGUUGUUGUUGUUGAACCUGUGACUUCAAAAAUACAGUUGGUUCAACGGUAAGAACCUUAAAGAAUGAACCCAUAAAUCUUAAAUUUUGGAUCCUCCUCUGUUGUAGCCCGGCAGUCACCUUCAUUGAGUUAGGUUAUAGUGCGCUUUGCAUGCUUUUCUCGAAGUUCAUAUUGAAGCUCGUCGGUCAAGAAGUUGCAUUACCCUAAUAUAACUUUGUUCGAGUGGUUUGGUCUCUCAAAUUGAUUCCAAAUAUAUAAGAAAGAGCAAAUUUGCUUCUUCCAUUUCCAUUCUCAGAACAUCAAUGUGUCCGGGCUAGAAGUUAUUAACUUGUCAACGAUGGUAGUGUUAACUUGGCUGAACGUCUUAACCUUAAUUUCUUGGUUCUUUUCCGCAGGGAUUGCUUCUGCUGAUUGGAGGUUUACUUACUAUUUGAAGCUCUUAGAUGUGUCUGCAAGGUUGUUCUUCAGGUGCGGCUGUGAACCUCGAUGGCUUCGGAUUUCAUUUGUAAAUGCCAAAAUGUUGUCUAUAUAUAGUGUUAAUAUUUGGUGGUUGUAGGUUUAUACCUGUGCCUAACUGUAGAUAAGCAAGCAAAAUGUUGAGGCAAAACUUUUUCUAAAGUUUUGAUUUGUUAUUCAAUUUGCCAAGAAAUGUAGAGGUCUCCUUACAUUGUGUUAUUGUUUGCUGUGCAAUGUUUUGCGCGUAGCCGAGGGUCUUUUGGAAACAACCUCUCUACCUCCAUGAGGUAGGGGUAAGGUCCGCGUACACACCAUCCUUUCUGGAUCCCCUUUUGUGGGAUUACAUUGAGUAUGUUGUUUUACAAGGUAGGGGUAAGAUCCGCAUACACUCCAUCCUUUCUACCUCCAUGAGGUAGGGGUAAGGUCCGCGUACACACCAUCCUUUCUGGAUCCCCUUUUGUGGGAUUACAUUGAGUAUGUUGUUUUACAAGGUAGUGGUAAGAUCCGCAUGCACACCAUCCUUUCCGGACCCCAUUUUGUGGAAUUACAUUGAGUAUGUUGUUGUUUUGCUCCUGAACCAUUUGAUGCAAUCAUUAAGACCUUCCCAAUCUUAAAAAGGUUACAAAAUUGUGCAUUAUAGAAGAGCUUCACAUCCAAUAUCAUGUUUCAACUCUUACACUGUUUGGAUGGUUGAUACGUAUCGUUUCAUGAUGUAUUGUAUCAUAUUGCACUGUAUUGUCCUGAUGAAUACAAUGUUUGGAUAGAUUAUGUUAUUUCCCAUCGCUACAUGAUGCCACACAUGAGCAUGUAAUAUAUGUCUAAAUUAUUGUAACUUUUUCCAUAUAUAUCCAUGUUUCAUAUCAAAAUAUUGGGUUCGAUUGAACUCGUAAAUGAUAAAGUUAACAUUGGUCAUUUAACAGACUAAUGACUAGACACUGUACACUAAUCAAAUACAAUAUGAAGAAUAUUGAAGCUCCCGCUACGAGUGGGGUCCGGGGAAGGGCCGGACCAGACGACAAGGGUCUAUUGUAAAUAGAAUACAAAGAGAAAUUGCAAAAUGUCAAAAAACCAAAGCAAUUCAGAAUGAUUAUCUUUCCCCCAGUAAUGAUUCAGGAAGUGCAGCCUCUUCUUCCUGCAAAUUGAGAUAUCACAAUUAGAACAUUCAGUAGCUGAAAAUUUGUGUAUAUGUUAUACCAAAGUACAAUACAUGUACCACUAAGGCGUUAAAUUCAGUUUCCUCAUCGAUCGCGCUGAUGAUGGCCGGAUCUUCCAAGAGUUCCUGUUGCAGGAAAGUAGAGAGACAUUGUAACAGAGUACCCUAAACUGGAAAAAUCAAAGCUAACAACAGAGAAGUAAACAAUCAAGAAACAGCAACUGUACGCGAAAUCGCUCAGAUGCAAUAUAACCGUGACUAGUGUUUGUCCCAUGGGGCCUUUCUUCAAUAAAGCAUGUGUGGAUUUGUAUACCUUCAUUCCGAUUUCAUAGAGGUUGACACGCCUUGACUAGUACCACCUUUAAUCUAUCAGAGCAAUAAUAAUCUUAAUAUGUUUCGUACUAGACUAAACAAGUCUGUAAUCUUUGGUGUUUUCUGAUGAAUAAGAGAGUUUAUUCAAGGUAAGCUUGUAUUCUCGAUUUGUCCCAACAUCGUGGAAUAAAAUUAGUGUGACAUCAUCAGGUUCCGGUGCUAUAUCUGCAGAACAGUUCUCAACUAUUUAGAACUGUUUCUUUUUGGAUGUCAUCAGAAACAGCCUCUCUACUUCUUCGAAGGUAGCGGCUUACCCUGCCCAGACUCCACUUUGUGGGAAUACACUGGGUUUGUUGUUGUUGUUCUUUUUGGAUGUCGUCCUUUACAACCAUUCUUUCACCUUUCCGCUCACAAUCAGGUUAGAUUCUACUCUAGAGUGGUGGUCUUCACCACCUCUCCUUUGUACAAUUGUUGAAUAGAAACCUAAUGUUUCCC